GAAUCGUGUAUCGUAUUUCCAGUG
Molecule: non-coding RNA, 24 nt
Filed under: Arabidopsis thaliana (thale cress)
Lineage: Eukaryota; Viridiplantae; Streptophyta; Magnoliopsida; Brassicales; Brassicaceae
Source: RNAcentral